GGAGCAGGCGGGAUGAUCGCGGGCCCCUCACCGGGCCGGAGGAAAGUCCGAGCUCCACAGGGCAGGAUGGUCGCUAACAGCGACCGGGGGCGACCCCAGGGAAAGUGCCACAGAAAACAUACCGCCCCGAGCUUGUCGAGGGGUAAGGGUGAAAAGGCGAGGUAAGAGCUCACCAGUUCCCCGGGUGACCGGGGAAGCUCGGCAAACCCCAUCCGGAGCAAGACCGCAUAGGGGAGCGCUCGAGGGCGGCCCGCCCGAGCUCCCGGGUAGGUCGCUUGAGGCGUCAGGCAACUGCCGCCCCAGAGUAAUGAUCAUCGCUCCCCGGAGGGUGACCGAAGGGGGGAACAGGACUCGGCUUACAGCCUGCUCCGACA
Molecule: RNase P RNA, 374 nt
Filed under: Syntrophaceae bacterium
Lineage: Bacteria; Pseudomonadati; Thermodesulfobacteriota; Syntrophia; Syntrophales; Syntrophaceae
Description: RNase P RNA component class A
Rfam family: Bacterial RNase P class A
About the family: Ribonuclease P (RNase P) is a ubiquitous endoribonuclease, found in archaea, bacteria and eukarya as well as chloroplasts and mitochondria. Its best characterised activity is the generation of mature 5'-ends of tRNAs by cleaving the 5'-leader elements of precursor-tRNAs.
Source: RNAcentral